This 498-nucleotide ribosomal RNA is filed under the name uncultured bacterium. RNAcentral's name for it is "partial 16S ribosomal RNA". It matches the Rfam family "Bacterial small subunit ribosomal RNA", at positions 30 to 523 of the family's 1533-position model. The record is from RNAcentral.
ACUGAACGCUGGCGGCAUGCCUUACACAUGCAAGUCGAACGGUAACAGGUCUUCGGAUGCUGACGAGUGGCGAACGGGUGAGUAAUACAUCGGAACGUGCCUAGUAGUGGGGGAUAACUACUCGAAAGAGUGGCUAAUACCGCAUGAGAUCUACGGAUGAAAGCAGGGGAUCGCAAGACCUUGUGCUACUAGAGCGGCCGAUGGCAGAUUAGGUAGUUGGUGGGAUAAAAGCUUACCAAGCCGACGAUCUGUAGCUGGUCUGAGAGGACGAUAAGCCACACUGGGACGGAGACACGGCCCAGACUCCUACGGGAGGCAGCAGUGGGGAAUUUUGGACAAUGGGCGCAAGCCUGAUCCAGCAAUGCCGCGUGCAGGAUGAAGGCCUUCGGGUUGUAAACUGCUUUUGUACGGAACGAAAAGCCCCGGGUUAAUACCCUGGGGUCAUGACGGUACCGUAAGAAUAAGCACCGGCUAACUACGUGCCAGCCGCCGCAGUAA